Molecule: ribosomal RNA, 429 nt
Filed under: Fusobacteriota bacterium
Lineage: Bacteria; Fusobacteriati; Fusobacteriota
Description: Fusobacteria bacterium partial 16S ribosomal RNA
Rfam family: Bacterial small subunit ribosomal RNA
Source: RNAcentral
UGGGGAAUAUUGCGCAAUGGGCGAAAGCCUGACGCAGCGACGCCGCGUGAGGGAUGAAGGUUUUCGGAUCGUAAACCUCUGUCAGAAGGGAAGAAACCGCACUGUGCUAAUCAGCAGUGCCUUGACGGUACCUUCAAAGGAAGCACCGGCUAACUCCGUGCCAGCAGCCGCGGUAAUACGGAGGGUGCAAGCGUUAAUCGGAAUUACUGGGCGUAAAGCGCACGUAGGCUGCUUUGUAAGUCAGGGGUGAAAUCCCACGGCUCAACCGUGGAACUGCCUUUGAUACUGCUUAGCUUGAAUCCGGGAGAGGGUGGCGGAAUUCCAGGUGGAGGAGUGAAAUCCGUAGAUAUCUGGAGGAACAUCAGAGGCGAAGGCGGCCACCUGGACCGGUAUUGACGCUGAGGUGCGAAAGAGUGGGGAGCAAACAGG